UACGUAGGGGGCAAGCGUUGUCCGGAAUCAUUGGGCGUAAAGCGCGUGUAGGCGGCCCGGUAAGUCCGCUGUGAAAGUCGGGGGCUCAACCCUCGAGACGCCGGUGGAAACCGUAAGGCUAGAGUCCGGAAGAGGAGAGUGGAAUUCCUGGUGUAGCGGUGAAAUGCGCAGAUAUCAAGAAGAACACCCGUGGCGAAGGCGGCUCUCUGGGACGGUACUGACGCUGAGACGCGAAAGCGUGGGGAGCGAACAGG
Molecule: ribosomal RNA, 254 nt
Filed under: uncultured bacterium
Lineage: Bacteria
Description: partial 16S ribosomal RNA
Rfam family: Bacterial small subunit ribosomal RNA
Source: RNAcentral